This 253-nucleotide ribosomal RNA is filed under the name uncultured bacterium. RNAcentral describes it as "partial 16S ribosomal RNA". It matches the Rfam family "Bacterial small subunit ribosomal RNA", at positions 524 to 776 of the family's 1533-position model. The record is from RNAcentral.
UACGUAGGGGGCAAGCGUUGUCCGGAUUUACUGGGCGUAAAGAGCGCGCAGGCGGUCGUUCAAGUCGCGUGUGAAAGCCCCCGGCUCAACUGGGGAGGGUCACGCGAUACUGAUCGACUCGAAGGCAGGAGAGGGUAGUGGAAUUCCCGGUGUAGUGGUGAAAUGCGUAGAUAUCGGGAGGAACACCAGUGGCGAAGGCGACUACCUGGCCUGUUCUUGAUGCUGAGGCGCGAAAGCUAGGGGAGCAAACGGG